Molecule: ribosomal RNA, 881 nt
Filed under: uncultured bacterium
Lineage: Bacteria
Description: bacterial SSU rRNA
Rfam family: Bacterial small subunit ribosomal RNA
Source: RNAcentral
GGAUGAACGUUGGCGGUGUGCCUAAUACAUGCAAGUCGAACGGAGUUAAUAGCAAUAUUGACUUAGUGGCGAACGGGUGAGUAACGCGUUGGUGAUCUGCCUCAAAGUGUGGAAUAACGUUCCGAAAGGAACGCUAAUACCGCAUGUGCUCUCGGUUUUUAGAAAGUUGAGAGUAAAGGAUUUAUUCGCUUUGAGAGGAGCCUGCGUCCCAUCAGCUAGUUGGUAGGGUAAUAGCCUACCAAGGCUUUGACGGGUAGGGGACCUGAGAGGGUGGCCCCCCACAAUGGAACUGAAACACGGUCCAUACACCUACGGGUGGCAGCAGUAGGGAAUAUUAGAAAUGGACGAAAGUCUGAUCUAGCGACACCGCGUGUGCGAUGAAGGCCUUCGGGUUGUAAAGCACUUUUUGGAAGGAAUAGGAAGGAAGGUACUUCCAGAAUAAGUCUCGGCUAACUACGUGCCAGCAGCCGCGGUAACACGUAGGAGGCAAACGUUAUCCGGAUUUACUGGGCGUAAAGCGCGUGUAGGUGGUUCUGUAAGUAGGGCGUGAAAGCUCCCGGCUCAACUGGGAGAGGCCGUUCUAAACUACAGAGCUAGAGGAUGGUAGAGGGAGGUGGAAUUCCAGGUGUAGCGGUGGAAUGCGCAGAUAUCUGGAGGAACACCAGUGGCGAAAGCGGCCUCCUGGACCAUUCCUGACACUCAGACGCGAAAGCUAGGGUAGCAAACGGGAUUAGAGACCCCGGUAGUCCUAGCCCUAAACGAUGUAGACUAGACGUCGGCGGUGUAAUAGCUGUCGGUGUCCAAGCUAACGCGAUAAGUCUACCGCCUGGGGACUACGGCCGCAAGGUUAAAACUCAAAGGAAUUGACGGGUCCCCGCACA